RNAcentral lists this microRNA precursor (100 nucleotides) under Pelobates cultripes (western spadefoot toad). Lineage: Eukaryota; Metazoa; Chordata; Amphibia; Anura; Pelobatidae. The record is from RNAcentral.
GAAGGGUAGAACAGGUCUGUGUUUAUGUGUGUGUGUGUGUGUGUGUAUAUAUACAUAUACACACACACACACACACUAAUAAACACAGACCUAUUCUACC